RNAcentral lists this ribosomal RNA (156 nucleotides) under uncultured bacterium. Its description in RNAcentral is "partial 16S ribosomal RNA". It matches the Rfam family "Bacterial small subunit ribosomal RNA", at positions 357 to 505 of the family's 1533-position model. The record is from RNAcentral.
GGGAAUUUUGGACAAUGGGCGCAAGCCUGAUCCAGCCAUGCCGCGUGCAGGAUGAAGGCCUUCGGGUUGUAAACUGCUUUUGUACGGAACGAAAAGGUCUUCUCUAAUAAAGAGGGCUCAUGACGGUACCGUAAGAAUAAGCACCGGCUAACUACG